This 254-nucleotide ribosomal RNA is filed under the name uncultured bacterium. Its description in RNAcentral is "partial 16S ribosomal RNA". It matches the Rfam family "Bacterial small subunit ribosomal RNA", at positions 524 to 775 of the family's 1533-position model. The record is from RNAcentral.
UACGUAGGGUGCAAGCGUUGUCCGGAAUUAUUGGGCGUAAAGAGCUCGUAGGCGGUCUGUCACGUCGGCUGUGAAAUCCCGAGGCUCAACCUCGGGUCUGCAGUCGAUACGGGCAGACUAGAGUACUGCAGGGGGAGACUGGAAUUCCUGGUGUAGCGGUGGAAUGCGCAGAUAUCAGGAGGAACACCGGUGGCGAAGGCGGGCGUCUGGGUCGAGUACUGACGCUGAGGUACGAAAGCGUGGGGAGCAACAGG